This 3052-nucleotide long non-coding RNA is filed under the name Phaseolus vulgaris (common bean). RNAcentral describes it as "long non-coding RNA (PVUL_LNC002365)". Lineage: Eukaryota; Viridiplantae; Streptophyta; Magnoliopsida; Fabales; Fabaceae. The record is from RNAcentral.
AUUAUGCAUUCUAUACUGGUUAAAGAAGUUGACUAUCAAAAUCAUAUACCAUAAGUCAAAAGCCUCAUACAGGUAAUGCUUCAUAUUUAAGCUCUAUUUUUUAAUCCUAGUCGUACCAUCAACAUGUUAAUUUGUGUUUUAAUAAGCAUUUAGAUUACUUUCAGAAAGAAAACUAUGUUUAAAAGAUGUUUAUCAUGUUAUUUUAGAAUUUUCAUUAAAUUUAGUUUCUAAGGGUUUUUUGGGUGAACGAAAUUUGUAUGGCUACGCGUCUAGUGCUGAAUAGUAUUUUACUUAAACGUGUUUAGAUAGUUGAUUAAAAGUUAUAUUCAAACAUACGAUUUGCUUAUUUCAGAGUUAUUAGAUAAACUUUAUUUUAAUUUAUUUAAUGUAAAAUUGUAAACAAAACUAAAAUAUAUAUUUAAAUUAGUUAUAAUUAAAAAAGAAGUACUUUAGAAUGAAUAUUACGCUAAGACAGAUUAACAUGGCAAAACAAGAAAACAGGAUUUCUUUUAAUAAAACAGAAAUUUAUACAUAGAUAACCUAUUGCAGGAAAGUGAAACAGGGUAACAUAUAAAAAUCAUACCCGCUGAAUAAAAGUUUCAGAGUUUGAUCAGCAUAAAAGCAAAAUCUCUCCAGCAUCUGAACUUUGGGCAUGAUACAUAGUCCGAAACAGUGCAGCCAACCAAUUUAGAUAAACCUUUGCAUCAUCACCAAAUUAUCUGCUACUUUAAAUUCAUCAGCUUCAUGGGAAACAAUCAUAUCCACCAGCCUUUGCCUGAAAUCCAAGGAUUUAAACUAAAAAAAAUAAUAAAACACUUAUGGAAGUUCAUGACAUUAGUUACUAACAGUCUCGUGGCAAACUCUGGGAUUAAAUCACAGGAUAAUAGCCCCCAAAACUCAAUUACCAGUUCCCUUAAAUUCUGAGAGAGGAGAAAAGAUAGAACAGAAGUGACUAUCUGUGAUUCAGUAUGCUAUUUGCUGAAUAUUCUGCGUGCCAUGAUAGUGGAUGAACCAGGAAGUGCUGGUCUAUGGUCAUUACCUGCAGAAGGGAUAAAAUUAUGCCAAGUCCUUGAGUUCCAUGCUCUAGGUUCUACAGUUCCAGAUCCCACCUUUGAAUAAGAGUACAUAAGUUUCACUAUUCAUCUGAAAAAUAAAAAACUAACACAACAGAAAAUAGUGCUAAGAAAUGACUCCACCAGCCAUCAUAACAAGAGACAACUGACAAGUAAAGAAGCCGAAUUCCUGUGCGGGGCAGUAUAUAAACAGAUCAAAAUGACCUGUAUGUAAUAAAAAAUCAAAAUAAUCUGCAUGCCUCCCGAACUGAAAACUGCCACAACAAAAUUUUGAAGGUUUAAAUCAGUCAAAAUUUGUCCAGUUUUAUUUGAACCUAAGUGUGAUAAUGAAUACAGAUCUCUCUGCAUUUCCAACAUUCUAUCUAAUCAACAGAAAGAAGGGUUUUAUAAGAUAGUCACCGAAAUAAAACUAGGGUUGUUCAAGUAAGAUAGAUUAUACGCUUCACCAAACAAGGUUAAUAGACGUGAUAUGAUAACUUCUCGAUUAUCUGUCUGAAGCAAUAUUUUGAGGGAAUUCAUUUUCCAGACCCUAUUAUUCAUAUGUCACUCAGCAUGCAUCUUCUGCACAGAGUAGCACGAAAUCCAACCAACCAGAGAGGUUUAUCUUCUCCUCAUCACUAGUGGUGAACGAUUUUUUUUUUUAAUCUAAACAUUCAAACGAAUAAAACUUGAAUCCAGAACGGUUGGUUUUACUGCAAAAUCAAUCAGUGAGUGAGCAAAACAAGUAAUUUCAAAUGAGAAAACUCUUUACCUUCUCGUGUCUCAUGCAAUUCAAUUGAAUAGCAAUUACAUUCUUGAGACCCGGACCCAACCAAUCAAUCAAACCAUUCUAACAAUUCAUCAAUUAACAAAAAAUUAAUAAAAUAACAAAACAAUUAGUCACCCUCCUUCCGUUGAACCAAUCGCCGUCCGCCGCCGCCGCGGCGGAAGGGAGAGCAAAUGCAAUCUGAACCAAUCCUCGGCGCCAUGAAAAGCUUAAAAGGGGGAAAAUUUUCAUCUUCACUUUGGGCAGAUAAUAAUAAAACGGGAGGGUAAUUGAGUAAUUUAGGUCAAAAUGUGGCAGUUUAGUAAUAAGCGGAAGUUCAGAAGGGCAAUUAGAGAGAAGCAUCCCUAUAAAUAACGAGGUCCCUUCCGCGCAGCGCAUUCUCUUCUUCUCACACUUUUCUCUUACAAUCUCUCUCUCUAUCUCUAUUCUCUUUCUCUCUCUUCUUCUCUAUUCUCUCUCUACCUCAUCUCUUAUUUUGUUUUUAUUAAAUCUUUGAUAAUUGCCAGAUUCCGGCCACAAGUUUCUGUCCUCCCUCUCUCUCUCCCAUCACAUCGUCUUCACCAUAGCGUGCCCCAUCCGUUUCGUGUCAAUUUACCCUUUUACCCCUCUAGUUUCCGUAUUUACCAUUUUACCCCUCACUUUUCACCCGAAGAUAGAUAACAUAAUUACCGUUCUUUUUCAUUAUUUGAAAACAAAACUAUUUGUGUCAGUUUUGUUUCGAGGGUGGUUUGGUAGUGACGUGGCAUGCGGAUAGAGAGCCAUGAAUACCAAAACGAUGCGUCUCCCCCCUCGUCGUGUGUUGACACCUACCAAUAAGCGCAAAGAGAGAGAUGACCCAUUUGACAGGCCCAAGCCCAUACCCCCACCACCCACCACCAAAAUACUCAAGCCCGAUAGGCCCGUCGAGCCGAUCACCGCCACCAGCAAAGCCGCCUUCGAGGAGCCCAAGCCCUCCAACCAACUCUUAGCGGGCUACCUGGCCCACGAGUUCCUCACCAAGGGGACCCUACUAGGCCAGCCGUGGGCCCCACCCAAAGGAAAGUCGACGGAGGACGGCGACGAGGAAGCAGAACCCACGGCGGCCGCGCCGUGCCAGAGGACGGAGGAGGAGCGGGAAAGGUACGCCGAAGUGGCGAGUUUGUUGAAGGGUGGUGGGACCCAGCUCCCCGGCGUGGUGAACCCCACCCAACUCGCCCGUUUCUUGCACUUGUGA